CUUCAAACUCAAACACAGCGAAGAUCUGUUGGUUGGGGUGGUGGCAGAAAACGUGAGAGGGAGAGAAAAGGGGCAGUGAGGGGACCAUUUUAUCAGCUUCACCACCUUCGAUAAGAUCACCUUGUGUGUGUGAGUGUGAGUAACCUUUGCUGUCACCUCUGGCAUAUCUUGACAGCUGAACACUCAUGUGUGAAAGAUCCAAUUUAACUGUGUCACUGCGUGAAAAAAGCCAAGUAUCAGUGACCUGCUUCUGAAUUCCCUCUUGGAACACAUCUGUUGUCAGUGUCAAACGGCACAUGACCUGCGUAGCGCUCCGACUGUUAUUUAAUGAAAGGCAGCUGGUGGGACGCAGCUGUUCAACUCACACACCUGUGAUAACCAGACUGCGGACUGACAGCAGCAGUGUCAAAGAGAGGAACAACACCAAGACAGCAAAAGUCCACAAACCUCACAAUGUAGCCUAAAAGAUUUCAAGGAAAAAGUAAAAAUAAAAGUGUUGGGAACCAGUCUGCAGAAGAAACAGGACAGUUAUAAAUGUGACAUAACUGGAACUAUCCAACCAGGUGUGAGCCAAAAGGAGGCAUCAGAAUGGACGAGCACAUCAGCCACGGAAACUCCCCCACCAUUCAUAUCUCCCAUCAUUGGUUUGUGGAGGUUUCCUCAAACCUUUCCUAUUUUAUACUCAUGUUACUGAUCCUGGAGGGAGUGAUCCGAGCUCAGGAGGCGAGUCCACCAGGAUUCACCAGCAGCUCUUUAUAAGGACAAGAGAAAAAAGGCCCUGCUGCCUCUAUAUUUAGACCCACUUUAUUGGGCCUCUUUCUCUCCCUUUUCUUCCCUCUGGUCCUGCUGCUGCUGCCGCUGUUAGAAAUCUCUCACUAAAACCAUGUGGGAGGAUGGCCUUGCGCUCUAUCACAGCAAGGAAGGGGUGAGUCGAUAAAGAUCUGGCUGAUAAUAACAGAGAAGAGUAAAACAAUGGAUGGGGAGAGGACAGAGGGAGGAUGAUGGAGAAGAGAGAAGGUGGGUGGUGAGAGAAGGAGUUUUCAUUGGUUUUCCUGUGCUCCACAGGGUCUUUCUUCUCCAUCACUUCAGUGGAAGACCCAAAAAAAGGUCCAUGUUAUUCAUCCACUCGAAUGAAUUUUGCCUUUCCACCUUUUCUACAGCUUAAGUGGCAUCAUCUGCUUUUUUCUAUAGCUCUAUGCCCAAACAUAGGCCUCUCAUAUAUAUAUCCCCAUUAUAUGUAUGUGUAUAUGUAUGUGUAUAUGUAUAUAGUCCUUUAGCAUACCUGAGCUCUUAUGAAGGUCUUAUCUGCAAAACAAAUCAUUUGUUUCAACACCUUUGCCCCCUGUUGUCCAACAUUUACAGCCAUUGACACUCGGCACUCCAAAAAUGGCAUUCCCUUACGCUCGGCGUCUCUUAUCUUAUUGCCUGGUGAUUCUAAUAAUGUGUAGUCAAACACUAAUGGCACUGUGUCAGCACCCAAGAGAAUCUGCUGCUAAAGCAGAAGAAAAACAAAAGAGAGAGGGUUGGGAGUUGGCCGGAGAUGGGACACAGAUCACUUUCAAAGAAAAGAUUAAUGAAACCAUAAACAACCUCAACAUGUUUACAAUAAAUUAGAUGACUGGAAAUGAGCCAGCAUCAUGGUUCUUUUGAUGAACACGGUGAACAUUGAUAUUUGUUCAAAAAUGUCAAUAGGACAAAGUAACUGGAUCAAUGUUUCCCAAACGUUUUUUCUGGGGACCAAUAUUUUAAAUGUCACCAAACUUCACGACCUAAGUCAACAGACAUUAUUCGUAAACUCCUGGGAAACAUGAUGCGAGACAACCCAAAAAAAUCUCUUGCGACCCACCUGAGGGUUGCGAACCAGUCUCUGGGAAACGAUGAACUGGAUCACUAAAAUAAAACAACCAGGAAAGUUAUUUUGACAUUUUUUCAGAAUUAUAAUUAGCAUCAAAAUAAAUCUAAUAAAAGGAAAAUUUUAAAACUGUCCUAUAUUUAAAUGUGAAAUGUUUCUUUGGUCCAGUUUCUUAGCAGAUCUACAAUACAGAGAUUCUGAGUCAGUCAGUCUGAACUAUUUAUUCCAGAUUUGGUAGACAACAGUUGUCUUAUUUCACAUUUCACAUGACUGAAAUAUAUAAGACAUUUAGCUUUAAAUACAUCCAAAUGUAUGACACUGGGUUUGACUGUGACUGUUCCACCUGCCUGUAAGGUCCUGUUAAACACUAGCUGUUGUUGCUUGUCUUAUCCCAGCUCAGUCCACAAUCACCAUGUGCUGAGAAGAGCACAGAGGAAGUGACACCACAGACAGGUGGAGUUAAUAAAGCAAAAGGUACUAUUUGAAUAUCAGCUGCGCGAUGCAGCAGCAGUUGCAAAAAAAAAAACAUCAACUGCCAUGCAAAUGAGAGCCAAAUAUGAUUCAAAACAGGAAAGGAGAGUUCAGGACAGAGGCCAAUGUGCAGGAGGCUUUUGGGUACGCAGUACGUACAGUAAUAUGGUGGCAUCACGUCAUCAGUCCAUGUAGUUUUUGUGGUUAUGACUUCUUUCGACAGUGUCUAUCCAGUCUUACAGAGACAACAGCACCCUGGGGAAAGGACAAGUCAUGACAUCACCAGAGUAGUAGCAACACUGAGGACAAUAAUUCUCUGUGCAGCAGAGGAGCUGAGGCGUGGCCUGGCUGCACAGAGGCGUCUGUCAGUGGACCAGCGAGGCCGAGCAGCUGUCUCAACCUCUGCCUGUGUCACAGAUGCUGUGUCAAUCCUUCAUCAAAGCUCACACAGCAUUUGGACAAUGGAUGGACAGAUUUAUAUAAUGUCUCCUCAAAUAUGUGUGUGUGUGUGUCAGCAUCUCUGUGACCAUGCUGAUGUUCCAGCAUUGGAACGCAGGGCUGUAGGUGGAGUAGGGGUGGAGGCCCAGAGAUAUAGAAAAAACAACAACAACAGCUACACAAAGAGCUGAUGGACAAAUAUUCCUCACUGAAUUUCAGGGGUGAUGACAGCUGAGAUAAAUGUGUAUGUGAAUCACACAGCCUACCCACAUGACAGCAGCAUGAUUUACUAUAAAUGUGUCUUCUUUUAGACUUGUGUUUUUAUCCUCCACUCAUAUAGGUUUUCUGCCCGAGGCCCAGCUAUGGCAAAUGCUACAAAUCUUUUUUUACGAGU
Long non-coding RNA from Cynoglossus semilaevis (tongue sole), 3155 nucleotides. RefSeq lists it as uncharacterized. The record is from RefSeq and is a predicted model, not a curated record. The transcript is spliced from 6 exons. Lineage: Eukaryota; Metazoa; Chordata; Actinopteri; Pleuronectiformes; Cynoglossidae.